This 483-nucleotide ribosomal RNA is filed under the name uncultured bacterium. Its description in RNAcentral is "bacterial SSU rRNA". It matches the Rfam family "Bacterial small subunit ribosomal RNA", at positions 30 to 507 of the family's 1533-position model. The record is from RNAcentral.
UUGAACGCUGGCGGCAUGCCUUACACAUGCAAGUCGAACGGCAGCACGGGAGCAAUCCUGGUGGCGAGUGGCGAACGGGUGAGUAAUAUAUCGGAACGUGCCCAGUCGUGGGGGAUAACGUAGCGAAAGCUACGCUAAUACCGCAUACGAUCUAAGGAUGAAAGCGGGGGAUCGCAAGACCUCGCGCGAUUGGAGCGGCCGAUAUCAGAUUAGGUAGUUGGUGAGGUAAAGGCUCACCAAGCCAACGAUCUGUAGCUGGUCUGAGAGGACGACCAGCCACACUGGAACUGAGACACGGUCCAGACUCCUACGGGAGGCAGCAGUGGGGAAUUUUGGACAAUGGACGCAAGUCUGAUCCAGCCAUUCCGCGUGCAGGAUGAAGGCCCUCGGGUUGUAAACUGCUUUUGUACGGAACGAAAAGGUUUCUAUUAAUACUAGGAGCUCAUGACGGUACCGUAAGAAUAAGCACCGGCUAACUACGUG